RNAcentral lists this small RNA (327 nucleotides) under Pongo abelii (Sumatran orangutan). RNAcentral's name for it is "processed transcript". The record is from RNAcentral. Lineage: Eukaryota; Metazoa; Chordata; Mammalia; Primates; Hominidae.
CACACAACCAUUGUGGCCACCCGUCACUAUCGCCCGCCUGAGGUGAUCCUUGACCCACGAAAACCGAGAGCACCUGGUGAUGAUGGAGAAGAUCCUAGGGCCCAUCCCAUCACACAUGAUCCACCGUACCCGGAAGCAGAAAUAUUUCUACAAAGGGGGCCUAGUUUGGGAUGAGAACAGCUCUGACGGCCGGUAUGUGAAGGAGAACUGCAAACCUCUGAAGGUCAGUUUCUGGCUACCCCCAGCUCAACUCAUGCCAAGGAGAGACCCCAGGCACUGGGCAGACAUACAGCAGAGACAGGCCAGGCCGCUAAAGGCUGCCUCCUC